RNAcentral lists this ribosomal RNA (161 nucleotides) under Arabis alpina (gray rockcress). Its description in RNAcentral is "5.8S ribosomal RNA". It matches the Rfam family "5.8S ribosomal RNA". Rfam says of the family: 5.8S ribosomal RNA (5.8S rRNA) is a component of the large subunit of the eukaryotic ribosome. The record is from RNAcentral. Lineage: Eukaryota; Viridiplantae; Streptophyta; Magnoliopsida; Brassicales; Brassicaceae.
UAACGACUCUCGGCAACGGAUAUCUCGGCUCUCGCAUCGAUGAAGAACGUAGCGAAAUGCGAUACUUGGUGUGAAUUGCAGAAUCCCGUGAACCAUCGAGUCUUUGAACGCAAGUUGCGCCCCAAGCCUUCUGGCUGAGGGCACGUCUGCCUGGGUGUCAC